AUACGUAGGGGACGAGCGUUGUCCGGAAUUACUGGGCGUAAAGGGCGCGCAGGCUGUGCUGCAAGUCAGCUGUUAAAUGUCUGGGCUUAACCCGGGCAUGCGGUUGAGACUGCGGUGCUGGAGUGCUGUAGAGGCAAGUGGAAUUCCCAGUGUAGCGGUGAAAUGCGUAGAUAUUGGUAAGACCACCGGUGGCGAACGCGAUUUACGCGCCCGCAACGGACGCUGAGCCGCGAAAGCCAGUGGAGCAUACUGGAUUAGAUACCCCGGUUGUCCUGGCCGUAAACGAUGAAUGCUAUGAUUUAGUGUAAAGAUACAUUCGUGCCGUAGUGAACGCGAUAAGCAUUCCGCCUGGGGAGUACGGUCACAAGAUUGAAACUCAAAGGAAUUGACGGGA
This 394-nucleotide ribosomal RNA is filed under the name uncultured bacterium. RNAcentral describes it as "partial 16S ribosomal RNA". It matches the Rfam family "Bacterial small subunit ribosomal RNA", at positions 523 to 918 of the family's 1533-position model. The record is from RNAcentral.